This is a non-coding RNA of Burkholderiales bacterium, 104 nucleotides long. Lineage: Bacteria; Pseudomonadati; Pseudomonadota; Betaproteobacteria; Burkholderiales. The record is from Rfam.
GCCUUGUGCCUGAAAGGGCGACGGCUGUACCGGAGCGGGAAGUCAGCAGAGGUCGUAGUAGCUCAAGCCGGGGUCGAUGAGGCCAGAAGGCGACGGCGAAGGAC